This 7902-nucleotide long non-coding RNA is filed under the name Olea europaea subsp. europaea. Lineage: Eukaryota; Viridiplantae; Streptophyta; Magnoliopsida; Lamiales; Oleaceae. The record is from RNAcentral.
CCCACCCCCACGAGAUCCCAUAUAAAACUGUGAAAAAAAUGCAAAUCGCUGAACUGUCUUGAGUGAAAACGAGAAAAUGAAAUCUCUUCUUUGAAAUUGAAGUUUCAUUCAACCUGUUCAUUAAAUUACACGCACAAAUCAUAGAGAGAGAGAAUGGCGGAUGCAUCAAAUGGGCCGGCGAGCUUUUGGACGCAGGCAGAUGCUUUGUUAAGGAAGAAUUUAACUUUUCAGGCAUGUUUCUUUCUACACCCUGUUUUUCUGUGUGAUUUGUCCCUUUGGUUUUUCUACCUUGUGGGUGUUUUGUAUCUUAAGAUCAAAUUCUCUGGCUUAUAGUUCUAUGCUAUUGCUGCUUCUUUAUUAAUAAUACUGAUUUGCUACUUUUGCCUUUUCGUCAUUAAAUUAUUUGGUAUUGUGUAACUUUUAGAAGGUCGGGUUAAUUUUUCUGUUUAUUGUUUAACAGAUUCUGGAUUAUUUGAAGGGAAUAUCUGUUUCAUAUUUAGUAAUAACUGAUAGUAUCAUAUCACUUUUAUGACAGUGAGAAUUGUAUUGUAUUAUUCCUUCUACUAGUUCAUUUGAAUUCAUUAAUACAAUUCUAAUUUUUGUUGAUUCUGAAUUUACAAUUACGUGGGUUGAUUUUUAAUGCAAAUACAUGGAUUAUUUCAAUUUUAGUAACAUAAUGCUGAUUCAAGGUUACUGAUAGGCUGAUAUUUCCAUAUUGUCACAUCUAUUCUGCACUUAUGAUCUUUAUUUGGUAUUGUUAUGAUUAUUUUCUGAUUUUUAUUCCUUUGUUUCGACUCAAUUUAUCUAAUUAUCUUAGAUAAUGCGAUUCACAUCACUAGUUCCAAGGUUAUGGAUUGCAAAAUUAGAAUUUUCUCUUAAAGAAUCAUUUUUUAUUCCUUUUAAUGCUUGUGAUGAUGGUGUUUCAUUUUUCCUCUUUCAAUCGCAGAAACGAAAUUUGAGAACUAAUAUUCGACUCGUCAUAUUUCCAUUUUUCCUCUGUCUGUUGCUGGUUCUGAUUCAAAGUCUGGUCAACAAAGAAUUAGAUAAACCCUCAAACAGGUGUGGUUGCACUUGUGUUGAUACUAAUGGUGAUGGUCAAUGUGAGAAGAAGUGCGGGAUUGAAUACUCAACUCUGGACCAAGUGGGCACCUGUCCCAUUCCUCACCCACCAGAAUGGCCACCUCUAUUACAAAUACCAGCACAACGUUAUCGUGCAGUAAGAACUGAUUUUAUUUCAUAUUCAGACUUGUCUGAUGAAUCAUGCAAGACAACGGGUUCAUGUCCUGUAACCAUGCUUAUGACUGGAAAUAAUCAAACACUUGGACUAAGUAUGGCAUUCCUUCAUUCUAAGUUCUUUGAUUUAUUGGGACAGUUAAAUACUUGUCUUCAGCAAGUGAAAGAUCAAGUUAAUUCAUGUACGACUACAUUCUGAUAGGUGUGGCGGCAAAUAUGUUUGCAAGGAGACCUCUUAAUGUAGAUUCCUCUGAUAUUCUGUUCAGCCUAGCAGAUUAUCCAUUGGUUAGUUGUAUUUCUUAUUCUUUUUGUCCCUUCUCCCUUUGAGUUCUUUUUAAAUCUGUGAUGAGGUGCUCUCACCAACACUGCUUAUUGCCUAGAUGUGAUAUGUAUAUACACUGUCUUUAUUGUGACCUCUUGAUUAAUCCAGGGUUCCGAAUCGAAGACUCAGUUUUCCAGUUUUCUUGAGCCAGCCUUCUUUUCAAAUCUUCCAGUCUAUUAUGUUCAAUCUCAAUGUGCUCCAAACUCUGAAUUUCCUGUUUCACUUCAAAUUGGUUCUGACACAUUUCAACAAGGUAAUAUUUACAAAUUUUGUAUUAUUCUCUAGAUUUUACUGACUUCCAGAAACAGUAAUCAGAUAAUGACAUAGUCAAUUAUUUCGUUGUAUUUUUAAACGGUCUUGGUAUGAAUGGUCUAUAGUUUGAGAUUAUUGUAAAAUUUUUCACUCUCCUGCUACUAAACGUCAUUAACUAUACGCACUCUGUUUGUGUGUCCUACAUGCUUGCUCUUGCAUAACCAUGCAUUCGAGCAUAACUAAUAUAGACACACAUAACUAGUUGAAAAUCUCUCUGAUGUUCGUCUCUGAAACAUUUACAUUUUUCUUUCAUUUCUCCCGUCUAAAAUUCUUUCAUCUAAAAUUCAGAUGUAAGUUGUGUUCCUGGUUUACAAUUGUGGCGUAAUAGUUCUUCAGAGAUUAAUGAUGAGCUAUACAAGGGUUAUCGUAAAGGAAAUAAAGAAAGGAAGAUUAAUGAGAUUUUGGCAGGUUUGUGCACUAAAUAUAUGACUGUGCAUAUAAAAUUACCAUUUUAUUGUGUGAAUUUACCUCACUCUUUGCUUUUGUUUAACAGCCUAUGAUUUUUUAAACUCAAAUGCAAAUAAUUUCAAUGUGAGCAUAUGGUACAAUUCUACAUAUAAGAAUGAUUCAGGCGAUCAGCCUCUUGGAUUGACGCGGGUGCCUCGCUCAGUAAAUUUGGUACCUAGUUCCUGUCUCCUUGUUUGCAUUUAUUGUACAUGUUCUUGGUUUGUGUAAAAUUUGGAAAUUUUCAAUUUGACUUAGCCUGAAUUUGUGAACUGUCUGGAUAAGUGCACUUCUGUAGAAAUGUUUAAACUCUUGAUGAGAUUAUGAAAUAUAUAUUAUUUGUAUCAGAUGCUUUAGCUUAAACAAUCUCACCUAACUUAAUAUGGAGAAGUGAAAACAAAAGGUUUAGUUACAAUUUCAUCUGGCUACGUGUAUCAAAUAUUUUAGCUUAAACAAUCUCAUCUGACUUAAUACAGGAGAAGAGAAAACACAGGGUUCAGUUAAAUGACCGUGAACUGUUGAUCUUAAAUUCUUAAUGAAGUAUUAAGUUGUGUUAUUUUCACUAUCAAGCGAAAUUAGGUAUUAAAGCAUGCUAAUAUUGGCAUAUGCAUAUGCAGAUAUCUAACGCCUACCUCCAGUUUUUGCUUGGACCAUCAGUGCAAAUGCUUUUUGAGUUUGUGAAAGAAAUGCCAAAGCCUGAAACAGAACUUAGACUGGAAUUCUCAUCUCUGCUUGGACCACUAUUUUUUUCGUGGGUUAUCUUUCAGUUGUUCCCUGUAAGUUCAUUAUAUUUGUUCCCUCAUGAUGAGUUCUAUAUUUGAAUCAAUCUUUUCAUGCAUGCAAUUUUCCCACUAUCUUGCAGUUACUAUUCUUAUUUUAGUUAUAUCUUUUCUUGAUAAAAUAACACAGUAUAGAAACUUUUAUUCAAACCUGUGUUAACUUUUUCUAUCUUCAGAAAAUUCAUCCGCUAAAUCUGUUUAGUUUAAUGCUAUAUUUUUAUAUGAUAGUUUUAAAAUUCUGAACCUAAUGAUAACUUACUGUACUGGUUUGUGAGGGAACCACGUAGCUCCCUCUGUUUGGUUCCUGUUGCUGAAAGACUUGCAAACAGUUUUGGAUGGAUGAAGGGGGCUUACCCUUACCUUAUUUAAUAGUAUAUUAUUGUUUAAUCUAGCUUUAUGCUACAUUAUAAAUUGUUAAUAUUUUUUCUUGCAGAUUGUAUUGAUAUCUUUGGUCUAUGAGAAGCAACAAAGACUAAGAAUCAUGAUGAAAAUGCAUGGACUUGGAGACUGGCCUUAUUGGAUGAUUUCUUAUGCUUAUUUCCUUUUAAUAUCUUCAAUCUACAUGUUAUGCUUUGUUAUUUUUGGUUCACUUAUAGGUAAUAAUACAGCCUAUAAAGUUCUAAAACAUUGUUACUUCACUUUUGAUAUCCAUUCGAGUUACUUAGACAAAAGUUAUUUUCAGGGCUAAAGUUCUUCACUCUGAAUGAUUAUAGCAUCCAGUUCGUGUUUUAUUUCAUCUACAUAAAUUUGCAAGUGUCAGCGGCUUUUCUGGUUGCUAAUUUGUUUUCUAAUGUGAAGACUACUACAGGUUUGACCCUAGCUACUCUACAUUAUCUAUUAUGUUGAGUAUACCUGUUUUAUUUUAUGUGAUAAAUCAUCUUGCAUACUUAUCUGUUACACAUAAUUCCUACAGUUGUGGGGUAUAUGAUGGUUUUCGGUUCUGGACUCUUGGGUGGAUUUCUUUUCCAAUUCUUUCUCCAAGACACUUCAUUCCCAAGUAAGUCAAAAAUCCAUAAACUAUAAUAGUUACGCUUCAUUGAUACAUGCCCAGUUUUUGUUCUUCAUCCUUUGGACAGGACUAAUCACUAACCUAAUGCGAAUUAUAAUGAAAAUGGAAAGUUUUAUACAAUGUGCUAAUUUAUUUCCAAAUCACAUGCUAAAAUUAUGGAUUCCUAUUGAUAUACAUGGAGAAUGGCAGCACAUUUGUCUAUAUAUUUUCACUGUUGUGGGGCUGAAGACUUGAAGGUUUGCUUUCUUCUUAUAUUUUUUCGUGCAAUAAGCUUUUCAAUUCCCUACCUUCAGUGCCCUCAAAAAAAAAAAUCUCGAGUUUUCUAGAGCUAAAAAUGCCACAUUCAUCUUGCCAAAAUAUGGUAUUUAAACUAAAAUUCUUUGAACCACCUACCCAUUAAUGUACUUCGAUCUUUGGCACAUCACAAUGCCAUGGACUAGAUAUUUUUCCAUAUUCUCAUUCCAAUUUCAGGACUAAAGGCAUUUUUCCAUAUCCUUUCUCUUUGCAAUUGAUCGCUAGAAUCUGAAACCAAUUAGUAGACUGAUUGACAAUGAACUUUGAUCUGUUAAUCGUUCAAUCUAUUAUGUUUUGACUUUGUUAUUUUCAGUGUAGUAUCUCAUAACACUACUACACUUCUGUUUUGAAUAAUUUGUCUUCUCUUUUCAUCACAAGAUUGAUCUUGUAAUAUUGCAGGAGCUGGGAUUAUUGCUAUGGAGUUAUAUCCAGGAUUUUCACUUUAUCGUGGAUUGUACGAGUUUGCACAAUACUCGUUUACUGGAAAUUAUAUGGGAACUGAUGGGAUGAGAUGGAAAGAUUUAAAUGAUAGCAAAAAUGGGAUGAGAGAAGUCUUAAUUAUUAUGUCAGUGCAAUGGUUGGUUUUACUUGGUGUAGCAUAUUAUGCAGAUCAAGUCGCAUCAUCAGGAAGAAAUCCUUUGUUUUUCUUGUGGAAGCAUCGAAAUAAGCGCUCAACAUCCUUCCGGAAACCUAGCUUUCAAAAGCAGGGUUCUAAAGUUUUUGUUGAGAUGGAGAAACUUGAUGUUGUCCAGGAGGUAAUAUGAUGUGUCAUGUUAAGCUUAUCCAUCUAAAAGCAUUAGUUAUUAAAAAGGGUACACAUUAAUUUAUCUAAUUAUUUCUUGAACAUUGCCUCCUCAUGUGCAAACAAGAUUUAUGUUCUAUCAAGUGCAGACGUGCAUAAUUUUAUAUAAGAAGAUAUGUGGGACUUGCACUCAAGAUUUCUAGCUUAUCUAAAAAUUUAAGUUUUUAGAGAUUAAACAUAUUAAUUUAUUUAAAUUUUACCUUCAACAUACCCAUAAAAUAAUAAUAAUAAUAAAUAAAUAAAUAAAUAAAUAAAUUUACCUUCAACACGUCACAUUAGUUAUAAUACUUAAAGAUACCUGACAUUGAGAUGUUUGUCAUUAUUAAUGUAUCGAAGAUAUAUGUUGUGCAAAUUUCUCUAGUUUUUUAUUUUUUAUUUCUAUCCUCGUGAACUUUGUUGUUUUUCUUUCAGAGGGAGAAGGUGGAACAGUUACUACUAGAAUCAAGUACUAGUCAUACGAUUAUUUGUGAUGACCUCAAAAAGGUAUAUUCAGGGAAGGAUGGGAACCCGGAAAAAUUUGCAGUAAGGGGGUUAUCACUUGCUCUGCCACAAGGGGAAUGCUUUGGCAUGCUUGGUCCUAAUGGUGCUGGCAAGACUUCAUUUAUUAAUAUGGUCAGUUAACAGUCUUAAUUCUUUUACUAUUUAUUCAUAUCCGUGAAGCCUUGUAUUUUUCAUUUUGUUAAAAGAUCAACUUCUGACUAAGAUAGGUUUGUUGACAGAUGAUUGGGCUCAUAAAGCCAAGCUCGGGUGCUGCAUAUGUUCAUGGACUUGAUAUACGGACAGAUAUGGAUCAAAUAUACACCAGCAUGGGCGUAUGUCCUCAGCAUGAGUAAGCAUCAAUAUUGCGAAGAUGGCAAUUUUUUUUUUUUUUCUUAUCCUCAAUUUUAUGCAUUUGGAUAUCACUUCAUGCACAUUCUAUGUACUUAUUUGCGAACGAUGCACAGUCUACUCUGGGAAACACUAACAGGAAGGGAGCAUCUACUUUUCUACGGAAGGCUUAAAAAUCUUAAAGGGGCUGCUUUAAACCAAGUAAGUCUAUAUCAUCUUCAAUCUAACAUUGAGUUAGCUAAGCUAAUCAAGUAAGUGGUAUGAAACAAAUUACAUAUGUAUAUGUACUAUAAUCAUCGUAAAACUUGGAUUAAUAAAUUGCUCAUGUAUAUUUACUUGGUGUAAAACACAACUGAACAAUAAUGGGAUUGAGAAAGAAAGAGGAAGAGAGGGAGAAAGAGAGAAGAAUGGGGGGAGAACAUAGAGAAUUCAGAGGGAGAAAGUAUGAGCUCAUUCACUAAUCAAGUCUAACUAUUACAAUGUCUAAGUUCCCUUUAUAUAGGGUUUAAACUAAUUUAAGUACGAAAGGACUAAUAAAAUAAUAGAAAACUUAAUAAAUAAAUCCUCGUAACUUUUCCUAAAAUAAGAAUCUAAACAUGGAAAGUAUUUAUAUAGUAUAUCUAAUAGGAUCUCUAUCAGUACCAUAAUGCGAUGGAUUUCUCUAUUAUGAUGUAGGCAGUCGAAGAAUCUCUGAGGAGUGUGAACCUAUUUCAUGGUGGUGUUGCGGACAAACAAGCUGGGAAAUAUAGUGGAGGUAUGAAGAGGAGGCUUAGUGUCGCAAUUUCACUUAUUGGAGAUCCCAAAGUAUGUGUACAUACUUGUCCUUCUCUUCUUGUUUGUCAUUCAGAUAUUAGUCCUCUAUAACACUUUGGUAAAGAUAAUUCUUGAAUGUUUUUGAAGGUGGUGUAUAUGGAUGAGCCAAGUACUGGAUUGGAUCCCGCAUCAAGAAAAAUGUUGUGGAAUGUUGUAAAGCGAGCAAAGCAAAAUAGAGCAAUAAUUCUCACAAGUACACACUCUCAUACUCUCUUUUCCCCAUGCAAACCUAUGCACAUGCUAUCUUCCCCCAAUCCCGCCCUCCAUCUGCGUAAACGCUCAUGCACGUACCCUCAAACAUGCAAACUGAUACACGUUUUCGUAAUAUUUCAGCACAUUCAAUGGAAGAGGCAGAGCAUUUAUGUGAUCGUCUGGGUAUUUUCGUUGAUGGCAGCUUGCAGUGUGUUGGAAACCCCAAAGAGGUCAUUUUUAUAGUUUUAGCCAACACAUCAGCAAUGCUAUGUGUUUAUAUGCAUUUUCUGAACUAGUAUGCUAUGGAAGGUUUGAGACUGAUAUUUGCUCCAACUUGAGCAUUUACGUUUAUGCUAUUUUUUGAUUUUCAGUUAAAAGCUAGAUAUGGAGGAUCAUACGUGUUUACAAUGACUACAUCCUCAAAUCAGGAGGAAGAAGUAGAAAAUUUGGUACGGCAUCUCUCUCCAAGUGCCAACAAGAUAUACCAAAUCUCCGGGACACAAAAGUUUGAGUUGCCGAAGCAGGAGAUAAUAAUUUCUGAAGUGUUCAAAGCUGUUGAGAAUGCAAAGAGUCGAUUCACAGUUCAUGCGUGGGGUUUGGCUGAUACAACCCUAGAAGACGUGUUUAUCAAGGUCGCACGAGGGGCUCAGGAUUUCAAUGUUUUAUCGUGAUAAAACCAAUAUGCCUAUACAACUUUGUCUCAUAUGUAUUUUAUUUGGACUUUAGCUUCAGAUUUUGUAAAGAAGGGAAAUAAAUUUCGAAACUGGUCCUCUAUAUAUUGCUUGUAUUGACUUCAACUGAUAUGCAUUAUGGUUAUACUUCAUGAUAAAUUUAUAUAUUUCUUUUGUGUACUUCAUUUUUUAUAUUCACCACA